This 48-nucleotide non-coding RNA is filed under the name Trichobilharzia regenti. The record is from RNAcentral. Lineage: Eukaryota; Metazoa; Platyhelminthes; Trematoda; Strigeidida; Schistosomatidae.
AUCCAACUGACGAGUCCUAAAUAGGACGAAAUGCGCAUCCUGACAGAU